Molecule: unclassified non-coding RNA, 360 nt
Filed under: uncultured Sarcosomataceae
Lineage: Eukaryota; Fungi; Ascomycota; Pezizomycetes; Pezizales; Sarcosomataceae
Description: sequence contains ITS1
Rfam family: 5.8S ribosomal RNA (bases 1-105)
Source: RNAcentral
GAAAUGCGAUAAGUAGUGUGAAUUGCAGAAUUCAGUGAAUCAUCGAAUCUUUGAACGCACAUUGCGCCUUCUGGUAUUCCGGGAGGCAUGCCUGUUCGAACGUCAUCAAGCCCCUCGCCUGCAACCGUUGCUUGCAACGGCUGCUACAGGCGGCACCUGGCGGAUGUGUGCCGACACAAGGACACGCACCGCCGAAAUGCACUGGCGGACCCCUCACGGCUGCGAUUGUGAUAAGAAUUUACUUACGAUUGCAAGACUGAAGGGCGUCCAGCCGCAGACAUCCUGAUGCCCUCCACGGGGCGUACGGGCGCAACCACAUCUUUUGACUUCGAAUCAGGUAGGGAUACCCGCUGAACUUAA